UUGCUUUCAUUCAGGGAAGGCGGAAAAAGCCUUCCAGCAGAGCCCACUCCGGCUCCGCUCUUCUCCCUGUGUGCCUGUGUCCCCUUGUCUCUGCUGCCGAGCUGAGUGACCAACCCUCCGUCACACUGGCUGCCGGCCCGGCUGGACGGCUCGCAGGCAAAAAGCCCGUAUCCUCCACGGCGAUGUGGCCCCCGGUGCUGCAAGCUGCCUCGUGGCCUCUCGUGACGUUUGCGUGGAAAAGAGAAGAUGUUUUCAACCUUCCUGCGUUCGAGUUUGGGGUCUUGACCAAAGUUUGAAAAAAAAAAUAAAAAUGAAACACUCAAGGGUUCUGGCCGACGACAGACUGGAUUGAGCUCGGCCAAACUCAGAGGAGGGAUUGCUCUCUCUUCACAUUACCAAUUUUUCCAGAUUCAAAAUGGAUCAGGAUCUAUGAAAGAACAAAGACGGGAAAACGCACACACUGUCUGCGUCACUGCCCUACCUCUGUACGUCGUUUGUGUUGGUAUGACCGUUACGUAAUACUUCCUCUAGAGGGCAGUGCCGAGUGCCAAGGUGCAGGCAUCAACAAACAAGCAACCACUGAGGAGUCCAAGAAGGAGCUGGUAUGUCCGAGCCAUAAAGGACUUUCCUUGCAGCAGUCUAAGGGUGAAUUUGAAUAGUCCAAUAACAUCCUUUCCUAACCACUUGAUGGAAAGAAAAUCACAUGGUCAGGGGAAAGAUGUGAAGGAGAAGGACUGAGGAGACGACAAUCAUGGUGUAAGAAUUCAUGUCUACUUACCCUUAACCAGUGUUUCUUAAAUGCUUUUAAUGGGCACCUACUUUUGCUAUUGCGGCUCAAUUGGUGACCAUAUCAAUCGUGACAUAAUAUCACUGCUAUGACUAUUUUUUACAGCAAUUUUUUGCACCACGCAUCUCCACUUAGUUUGAAUAAGCAGCCAUUUCGAGGAGAUGUAUGGUAUUAAACAAAUGAAUCCAUGCAGUACAACCCGAUCAUUACUGUUUUAUCAUUUUUAAACAGGCUGCUUAUAACAAAAAUAAUAAUA
Solea senegalensis (Senegalese sole) is the source of this 1043-nucleotide long non-coding RNA. RefSeq lists it as uncharacterized. NCBI's taxonomy places the organism in Eukaryota, Metazoa, Chordata, Actinopteri, Pleuronectiformes, Soleidae. The record is from RefSeq and is a predicted model, not a curated record. The transcript has 4 exons.